CUACGGGCCGCUCCAGCAGGGAAUAUUGCACAAUGGACGGAAGUCUGAUGCAGCGACGCCGCGUGGAUGAUGAAGGCCCUCGGGUUGUAAAAUCCUUUUCAGGGGGACGAGGAAGGACGGUACCCUUGGAAUAAGCGUCGGCUAACUACGUGCCAGCAGCCGCGGUAAGACGUAGGACGCAAGCGUUAUCCGGAUUUACUGGGCGUAAAGCGUCUGUAGGCGGAAUGGUAAGUUGGACGUGAAAGCUCCGGGCUCAACUCGGAGAGGUCGUUCAAUACUGCCAAACUAGAGGGCAUCAGAGGAGCGUGGAAUUUCCGGUGUAGCGGUAAAAUGCGCAGAUAUCGGAAGGAACACCAAUGGCGAAGGCAGCGCUCUGGGAUGAACCUGACGCUAAGAGACGAAAGCUAGGGGAGCGAACAGGAUUAGAUACCCCGGUAGUC
This 440-nucleotide ribosomal RNA is filed under the name uncultured bacterium. RNAcentral's name for it is "partial 16S ribosomal RNA". It matches the Rfam family "Bacterial small subunit ribosomal RNA", at positions 339 to 795 of the family's 1533-position model. The record is from RNAcentral.